GACCUGACGCCAGUGGCACUAUCAUAGCCAAUGAGGUUUAUCCGAGGCUCGAUUAUUGCUAAUUGAAAAUUCCUAAAAGAAUAUAGGCUGGGCUGUCUUUAACAUUGACCAGACAUGCCCAGGAAUUGAGCCCAGACAAGGA
Molecule: small nuclear RNA, 142 nt
Filed under: Mustela putorius furo (domestic ferret)
Lineage: Eukaryota; Metazoa; Chordata; Mammalia; Carnivora; Mustelidae
Description: U4 spliceosomal RNA
Rfam family: U4 spliceosomal RNA
About the family: U4 small nuclear RNA (U4 snRNA) is a component of the major U2-dependent spliceosome. The structure of U4 snRNA from yeast and human has been reported. U4 snRNA presents a k-turn RNA motif in the 5p-SL related to recognition of Snu13 protein.
Source: Rfam by way of RNAcentral